RNAcentral lists this ribosomal RNA (491 nucleotides) under uncultured bacterium. Its description in RNAcentral is "bacterial LSU rRNA". It matches the Rfam family "Bacterial large subunit ribosomal RNA", at positions 338 to 827 of the family's 2925-position model. The record is from RNAcentral.
AGCUCUGGAAAGAGCCACCAAAGACGGUGACAGUCCGGUAAGCGAAAAUUUCUGAACCUCUGGAGUAUCCCAAGUAGUACGGGGCACGAGAAACCUUGUACGAAUCUGCCAGGACCAUCUGGUAAGGCUAAAUACUGACUGACGACCGAUAGUGAACAAGUACCGCGAGGGAAAGGUGAAAAGAACCCGUGAGAGGGAGUGAAAUAGAACAUGAAACCGUGUGCUUACAAGCAAUUGGAGCACUAUUUAUAGUGUGACAGUGUGCCUGUUGAAGAAUGAGCCGGCGAGUUACCGUACGUAGUUGGUUAAGCAGUUAACAUGCGAAGCCAAAGGGAAACCGAGUCUGAUAAGGGCGUUGAUAAUUACGUGUGGUAGACCCGAACCCUGAUGAUCUAGGCAUGGCCAGGAUGAAGCGCGUGUAACAAUGCGUAGAGGUCCGAACCAACCGAUGUUGAAAAAAUCGGUGGAUGAGCUGUGUUUAGGGGUGAAAU